AGCCCGGGGCUCAACCCCGGAACUGCAUUCGAAACUGCGGGACUAGAGCACAGGAUGGGAGAGCGGAAUUCUUGGUGUAGCGGUGAAAUGCGUUGAGAUCAAGAAGAACACCGGCGGCGAAGGCGGCUCUCUGGAAUGUUACUGACACUCAUGCACGAAAGCUGGGGUAGCAAACAGGAUUAGAUACCCUGGUAGUCCCAGCUGUAAACUGUGUGCACUUGGCGUUGGCGGUAUUGACCCCGCCAGUGCCGGAGUUAACGCGUUAAGUGCACCGCCUGAGGAGUACGAUCGCAAGGCUAAAACUCAAAGAAAUUGACGGGGGCCCGCACAAGCGGAGGAGCAUGUGGCUUAAUUCGAUGCAACGCGAAGAACCUUACCUGGGUUUGACAUCGGAGAGGCUUGCCUCUAGCGCGUGAAAGCGCGUUAACCAGACAGGUGCUGCAUGGCUGUCGUCAGUUCGUGCCGUGAGGUGUUGGGUUAAGUCCCGCAACGAACGCAACCCUUAUGUUUAGUU
Molecule: ribosomal RNA, 514 nt
Filed under: uncultured organism
Description: bacterial SSU rRNA
Rfam family: Bacterial small subunit ribosomal RNA
Source: RNAcentral